GCUAUUUUGGCAGAAAAAAUGUGAUGAUUUUAGAAUUCAUAAAUAUAUAAUUUUAAUUAUAUAGAUAGUA
Molecule: transfer RNA, 70 nt
Filed under: Macrosoma conifera
Lineage: Eukaryota; Metazoa; Arthropoda; Insecta; Lepidoptera; Hedylidae
Description: tRNA-Leu
Source: RNAcentral